This 77-nucleotide transfer RNA is filed under the name Gammaproteobacteria bacterium. Its description in RNAcentral is "tRNA-Pro". It matches the Rfam family "tRNA". Rfam says of the family: Transfer RNA (tRNA) molecules are approximately 80 nucleotides in length. Lineage: Bacteria; Pseudomonadati; Pseudomonadota; Gammaproteobacteria. The record is from RNAcentral.
CGGGGCGUAGCGCAGCUUGGUAGCGCGCUUGCAUGGGGCGCAAGAGGUCGUCGGUUCAAAUCCGGCCGUCCCGACCA